AUUACGCCCCGACUUGAGUGGAGCUCUUUUUAUGCGAAGCGAAGCGGAGCAUAAAAAAGCGGGAACGGAAGGCGGAUAAAGGC
Molecule: unclassified non-coding RNA, 83 nt
Filed under: Halpernia frigidisoli
Lineage: Bacteria; Pseudomonadati; Bacteroidota; Flavobacteriia; Flavobacteriales; Weeksellaceae
Description: Chryseobacterium frigidisoli Flavo-1 RNA
Source: RNAcentral